AAUGAACGUUGGCGGCGUGGAUUAGGCAUGCAAGUCGAGCGCUCAUCAGCAAUGGUGGGAGCGGCGAACGGCGUAGUAAUGUGUAGGAACGUACCCUCUGGUCGGGGAUAGCUACGGGAAACUGUAGGUAAUACCCGAUGAUCUCUGUGGAGCAAAGGUGUGAUUCCGCCGGGGGAGCGGCUUACAUGAUAUUAGCUAGUUGGUGGGGUAAUGGCCUACCAAGGCUUAGAUGUCUAGGGGGUGUGAGAGCAUGGCCCCCCACGACCGGAACUGAGAUACUGUCCGGACACCUACGGGUGGCUGCAGUCGAGAAUCUUCCGCAAUGGACGAAAGUCUGACGGAGCGACGCCGCGUGCGGGAUGAAGGCCCUUGGGUGUAAACCGCUGUCAGAGGGGAUGAAAUCUCCGAGGGUUAUCCCUCGGAGUUGACAGAGCCUCAGAGGAAGCACGGGCUAAGUAUGUG
RNAcentral lists this ribosomal RNA (462 nucleotides) under uncultured bacterium. RNAcentral's name for it is "bacterial SSU rRNA". It matches the Rfam family "Bacterial small subunit ribosomal RNA", at positions 29 to 507 of the family's 1533-position model. The record is from RNAcentral.